RNAcentral lists this unclassified non-coding RNA (270 nucleotides) under Phialophora macrospora. Its description in RNAcentral is "partial internal transcribed spacer region". The stretch from base 1 to 46 matches the Rfam family "Eukaryotic small subunit ribosomal RNA", at positions 1786 to 1831 of the family's 1831-position model. Lineage: Eukaryota; Fungi; Ascomycota; Eurotiomycetes; Chaetothyriales; Herpotrichiellaceae. The record is from RNAcentral.
AAGUCGUAACAAGGUUUCCGUAGGUGAACCUGCGGAAGGAUCAUUAACGAGUUAGGGUCUCUCCAGGCCCGACCUCCCAACCCUUUGUCUACCUUGCUGCAUGUUGCUUUGGCGGACCCGUCUCACGACCGCCCUGGGACCGCCGAGAGGUGUCCCUAGGCCCGUGUCCGCCGAUAGCCAACCUAAACUCUUGGAUGAAUCGUGUUUUAUGUCUGAGUCUUGUGAUUAAAUCAAAAGCAAAAACUUUCAACAACGGAUCUCUUGGUUCUG